UGGGGAGGUCUUGCACUAAUGGGGAAACCCAUGGAAUCGCAGCGACGCCGCCGUGAGCGAUGAAGCCCUUCGGGUGUGAAGCAUCUUUCGGCAGGGAAGAUGAUGACGGUAUCUGCAGAAGCAGCUGCGGCUAACUACGUGCCAGCAGCCGCGGUAAUACGUAGGCAGCGAGCGUUGUUCGGAGUUACUGGGCGUAAAGGGUGUGUAGGCGGUUGUUUAAGUUUGGUGUGAAAUCUCCCGGCUCAACUGGGAGGGUGCGCCGAAUACUGAAUGACUCGAGUGUGGGAGAGGUGAGUGGAAUUCCUGGUGUAGCGGUGAAAUGCGUAGAUAUCAGGAGGAACACCGGUGGUUGUUAGACGGCUCACUGGACCAUAACUGACGCUGAGACACGAAAGCGUGGGUAGCAAAACA
This 411-nucleotide ribosomal RNA is filed under the name uncultured bacterium. RNAcentral describes it as "bacterial SSU rRNA". It matches the Rfam family "Bacterial small subunit ribosomal RNA", at positions 355 to 775 of the family's 1533-position model. The record is from RNAcentral.